AUACGGAGGGUCCAAGCGUUAUCCGGAUUCAUUGGGUUGAAAGGGUCCGCAGGCGGGAAAAUAAGUCAGUGGUGAAAGCCUACAGCUCAACUGUAGAACUGCCAUUGAUACUGGUUUUCUUGAAUGUAGAUGAAGUGGGCGGAAUGUGUCAUGUAGCGGUGAAAUGCUUAGAGAUGACACAGAACACCGAUUGCGAAGGCAGCUCACUAACCUAUUAUUGACGCUGAGGGACGAAAGCGUGGGUAGCGAACAGGAUUAGAAACCCUAGUAGUCC
RNAcentral lists this ribosomal RNA (274 nucleotides) under uncultured bacterium. Its description in RNAcentral is "partial 16S ribosomal RNA". It matches the Rfam family "Bacterial small subunit ribosomal RNA", at positions 523 to 796 of the family's 1533-position model. The record is from RNAcentral.